UUCUGUCCGCAGCCCCUGAACGGGUCGCUGACGCUGGAGUUGGUGAACGAGAAGUUCUGGAAGCUCAGCAAACCCCUGGAGCUCUACUACGCCCCCACCAAGGAGCAGAAAUAGCCAAAAACGCCCAAAACGCCCCAAAAUCCAACCUGGGGGACACCAAAAUCCAACCUGGGGACACAGAAAUUUCCCAAAAUUAAAUUUGGGAACCCCAAAAUCCCCUCCCAGGGGGGCUCAGAUUUGGGUGGGAAUUUUGGGGAAUUUUUGGGUGAAAUUUUCAGUAAAUUUCAGGAAUUUUUGGGUGAAAUUUUCAGUAAAGUUCAGGAAUUUUUGGGUGAAAGUUUCAGUAAAUUUCAGGAAUUUUUGGGUGAAAAUUUCAGUAAAGUUCAGAAAUUUUUGGGGAAUUUUUGGGUGAAAUUUUCAGUAAAUUUGAAGAAUUUUUGGGGGA
RNAcentral lists this long non-coding RNA (445 nucleotides) under Junco hyemalis (dark-eyed junco). RNAcentral's name for it is "lncRNA (ENSJHYG00000002228.1)". The record is from RNAcentral. Lineage: Eukaryota; Metazoa; Chordata; Aves; Passeriformes; Passerellidae.